GGAAAAUACAGGUCGGAAGGUUCUUAGGUCGGUAGGUCCUCAGGACGGAAGGUUCUCAGGUCGGUAGGUCCUCAGGACGGAAGGACCUCAGGUCGGUAGGUCCUCAGGACGGAAAGACCUCAGGUCGGAAGGUCUUCAGGUCGGGAGGCCCUCAAGAUGGAAAGACCUCAAGUCGGAAGGUCUUCAGGUCGGGAGGUCCGCAAGACGGAAAGACCUCAAGUCGGAAGGUCUUCAGGUCGGGAGGUCCGCAAGACGGAAAGACCUCAAGUCGGAAGGUCUUCAGGUCGGGAGGUCCGCAAGACGGAAAGACGAUGAGUCGGAAGGUUUUCAAGUCGGGAGGUCCUCGAGACGGAAAGUCGUCGAGAUGGGAUAUCCGCAGGUCGGGUAAAUUGUAGGUCGGAUAGAAGGCGGAGUCGGACAAACGCGGAAGCCUUUGAUCAAAG
Andrographis paniculata is the source of this 443-nucleotide long non-coding RNA. RefSeq lists it as uncharacterized. NCBI's taxonomy places the organism in Eukaryota, Viridiplantae, Streptophyta, Magnoliopsida, Lamiales, Acanthaceae. The record is from RefSeq and is a predicted model, not a curated record. The transcript is spliced from 3 exons.